This 482-nucleotide ribosomal RNA is filed under the name uncultured bacterium. Its description in RNAcentral is "partial 16S ribosomal RNA". It matches the Rfam family "Bacterial small subunit ribosomal RNA", at positions 30 to 507 of the family's 1533-position model. The record is from RNAcentral.
AUUGAACGCUGGCGGCAUGCCUUACACAUGCAAGUCGAACGGUAACAGGUCUUCGGAUGCUGACGAGUGGCGAACGGGUGAGUAAUACAUCGGAACGUGCCCGAUCGUGGGGGAUAACGGAGCGAAAGCUUUGCUAAUACCGCAUACGAUCUACGGAUGAAAGCAGGGGACCGCAAGGCCUUGCGCGGACGGAGCGGCCGAUGGCAGAUUAGGUAGUUGGUGGGAUAAAAGCUUACCAAGCCGACGAUCUGUAGCUGGUCUGAGAGGACGGCCAGCCACACUGGGACUGAGACACGGCCCAGACUCCUACGGGAGGCAGCAGUGGGGAAUUUUGGACAAUGGGCGAAAGCCUGAUCCAGCCAUGCCGCGUGCAGGAUGAAGGCCUUCGGGUUGUAAACUGCUUUUGUACGGAACGAAAAGACUCUUUCUAAUAAAGAGGGUCCAUGACGGUACCGUAAGAAUAAGCACCGGCUAACUACGUG